AGUGAACGCUGGCGGUAGGCCUAACACAUGCAAGUCGAACGGCAGCACAGUAAGAGCUUGCUCUUACGGGUGGCGAGUGGCGGACGGGUGAGGAAUACAUCGGAAUCUACUUUUUCGUGGGGGAUAACGUAGGGAAACUUACGCUAAUACCGCAUACGACCUACGGGUGAAAGCAGGGGAUCUUCGGACCUUGCGCGAUUGAAUGAGCCGAUGUCGGAUUAGCUAGUUGGCGGGGUAAAGGCCCACCAAGGCGACGCUCCGUAGCUGGUCUGAGAGGAGGAUCGGCCACACUGGAACUGGGACACGGUCCAGACUCCUACGGGAGGCAGCAGUGGGGAAUAUUGGACAAUGGGCGCAAGCCUGAUCCAGCCAUACCGCGUGGGUGAAGAAGGCCUUCGGGUUGUAAAGCCCUUUUGUUGGGAAGAAAAGCAGCAGGUUAAUACCCCGCUGUUCUGACGGUACCCAAAGAAUAAGCACCGGCUAACUUCGUG
RNAcentral lists this ribosomal RNA (491 nucleotides) under uncultured bacterium. RNAcentral's name for it is "partial 16S ribosomal RNA". It matches the Rfam family "Bacterial small subunit ribosomal RNA", at positions 29 to 507 of the family's 1533-position model. The record is from RNAcentral.